UCUGAGUGGUGUACUGAUGUGGUGAC
Molecule: non-coding RNA, 26 nt
Filed under: Rattus norvegicus (Norway rat)
Lineage: Eukaryota; Metazoa; Chordata; Mammalia; Rodentia; Muridae
Source: RNAcentral